Molecule: ribosomal RNA, 492 nt
Filed under: uncultured bacterium
Lineage: Bacteria
Description: partial 16S ribosomal RNA
Rfam family: Bacterial small subunit ribosomal RNA
Source: RNAcentral
AGUGAACGCUGGCGGUAGGCCUAACACAUGCAAGUCGAACGGCAGCACAGUAAGAGCUUGCUCUUACGGGUGGCGAGUGGCGGACGGGUGAGGAAUACAUCGGAAUCUACUUUUUCGUGGGGGAUAACGUAGGGAAACUUACGCUAAUACCGCAUACGACCUACGGGUGAAAGCAGUGGAUCUUCGGACCUUGCGCGAUUGAAUGAGCCGAUGUCGGAUUGGAUAGUUGGCGGGGUAAAGGCCCACGAAGGCGACGAUCCGUAGCUGGACUGAGUGGAUGGUCGGCGACAUUGGAACGUGGACACGGUCCAUAGUCCUACGGGAGGCAGCAGUGGGGAAUAUUGGACAAUAGGCGCAAGCCUGAUCCAGCCAUACCGCGUGGGUGGAGAAGGCCCUCGGGUUGUAAAGCCCUUUUGUUGGGAAAGAAAAGCAGCAGGUUAAUACCCCGCUGUUCUGACGGUACCCAAAGAAUAAGCACCGGCUAACUUCGUG